This 234-nucleotide ribosomal RNA is filed under the name Triticum aestivum (bread wheat). RNAcentral's name for it is "partial small subunit ribosomal RNA". The record is from RNAcentral. Lineage: Eukaryota; Viridiplantae; Streptophyta; Magnoliopsida; Poales; Poaceae.
AUGCCCUACCGCGAAAUUUUGCUAAGUAUUGAACAUAGUGCGUGCUCGUGCCUACCGCCGAGCACCUUGGCGGUAGGGUUGUACAUGCUACCGCCAUUCUGUUUGGCGGUAGGGAUGUUUCCUACCGCCAAGGUCCCUAGCGGUAGGCUGUUACACCCUACCGCCAUGGACCCUGGCGGUAGCAAAAAGGUCAGAUCUCGAAAAAAAUUCAAACUAGGGUCAGAUCUCGAAUAG